GGAGUGGUGGCCGAGUGGUCGAAGGCGCUCCCCUGCUAAGGGAGUAUGCGGCUUAAACCGUAUCGAGGGUUCGAAUCCCUUCCACUCCGCCA
RNAcentral lists this transfer RNA (92 nucleotides) under Aquisalinus flavus. RNAcentral describes it as "tRNA-Ser". It matches the Rfam family "tRNA". From Rfam's summary of the family: Transfer RNA (tRNA) molecules are approximately 80 nucleotides in length. Their secondary structure includes four short double-helical elements and three loops (D, anti-codon, and T loops). RNAcentral also lists the same sequence under 1 other name. Lineage: Bacteria; Pseudomonadati; Pseudomonadota; Alphaproteobacteria; Parvularculales; Parvularculaceae. The record is from RNAcentral.